This is a non-coding RNA of Rana temporaria (common frog), 1080 nucleotides long. Lineage: Eukaryota; Metazoa; Chordata; Amphibia; Anura; Ranidae. The record is from the annotation of a RefSeq genome assembly.
CCAAUGUAAUUAUUUAUUUACUGGUGUGAUCCCUCUGGAAGCUGAAAAUCUUUGUAGUAAACACAGCUACUCCAGUGAUCUCCACUACUCCCGGGUCCUGUGUUGAGCAGCUGCCUUGCUACAUUGUGAAUACAAGAGGUCACCAUAUCGGCAUGGGUGCCAUUAAUUUUCUCAAUGAAUGCACAGCAUUCUCUGAUUGGAAGAGGUGGAGAGCGUGACAUCACUGCCCCAUCUCUAAACCUCGUCCAAUCAGAGAAUGGUUCUUUAAUUUAGUUUAUGAGGCACAUAAUUCGUUUUAUGCAAUGUUUCCUUUACUAAUUUGUUCCUGGUGUCUAAAGUUACGUAUGCAGAACCUAUGAAAAGAUGCAAGUGUUUCUCCUGAGAGUUGUCCUCACCUCAUGGUGUCUGAAUUUCUGUGCAUCAGAAGUCACUGAUGUGGUCCAGAGCCCACUGUACGAGUUGGCCAAAAUUGGUGAAAGCGUGUCAGUGAAAUGUUCUGAUGACAGGUCCAACUACCUGACCAAAUACUGGUACCGCCAGAAAGACGGAGCUAUAGUCCUGAUGGGAUAUUCAUAUAAUGCUGAGGAAGCUCAGAUGGAGAAGGAUUUUCCCAAAGAUAAAAUGAUAAUAAAAGCUGAUACACCUCUCAGAAGCACCUUGAACAUCAGUAAAGUAUCUGUAGAUGACAGCGCGAUCUACUUCUGUGCCAGUAGCAUCCACAGUGGCACAAGGAUAGCGCCAGGCCCUGCAGGAAUUAAUCAGAGACUUUCGAGUAUUAAAGAACGUUAUACCAAAAACAGCUGUCAUUGCUUCCUGAAAGUUACAAACCCACAAAUCCACAUCAGAAACAUUUUACUACACUGAGUUUGUUUCUUGUUUUAAUUUCUGGUAGAAAAUAAUAUCCAGUUAUGAACACACUUAUUUUACAAAUGCUAGGGAGGUGUGUGGCUUACUCUGACACGCCUCUUGUGCAAUCUGGUGUUGGAUGUGGUUCACAUAUAGGCAAGAGAAAAAAAAAUAUUCUGUAGACAUUUCUGAGCCAUGGACAUGACGACAAUUUUAUUGCAGUUCCUGGUUCCC